AUUGAACGCUGGCGGCAUGCCUUACACAUGCAAGUCGAACGGUAACAGGUUAAGCUGACGAGUGGCGAACGGGUGAGUAAUAUAUCGGAACGUGCCCAGUCGUGGGGGAUAACUGCUCGAAAGAGCAGCUAAUACCGCAUACGACCUGAGGGUGAAAGCGGGGGAUCGCAAGACCUCGCGCGAUUGGAGCGGCCGAUAUCAGAUUAGGUAGUUGGUGGGGUAAAGGCCCACCAAGCCAACGAUCUGUAGCUGGUCUGAGAGGACGACCAGCCACACUGGGACUGAGACACGGCCCAGACUCCUACGGGAGGCAGCAGUGGGGAAUUUUGGACAAUGGGGCGCAAGCCUGAUCCAGCCAUGCCCGCGUGCGGGAAAGAAGGGCCCUUUCGGGGUUGUAAAACCCGCUUUUGUC
RNAcentral lists this ribosomal RNA (412 nucleotides) under Burkholderiales bacterium oral taxon A57. RNAcentral describes it as "bacterial SSU rRNA". It matches the Rfam family "Bacterial small subunit ribosomal RNA", at positions 30 to 440 of the family's 1533-position model. The record is from RNAcentral. Lineage: Bacteria; Pseudomonadati; Pseudomonadota; Betaproteobacteria; Burkholderiales.